Molecule: ribosomal RNA, 460 nt
Filed under: uncultured bacterium
Lineage: Bacteria
Description: partial 16S ribosomal RNA
Rfam family: Bacterial small subunit ribosomal RNA
Source: RNAcentral
CCUACGGGUGGCAGCAGUGAGGAAUAUUGGUCAAUGGGCGUAAGCCUGAACCAGCCAAGUCGCGUGAGGGAUGAAGGUUCUAUGGAUCGUAAACCUCUUUUAUAAGGGAAUAAAGUGUGGGACGUGUCCUAUUUUGUAUGUACCUUAUGAAUAAGGAUCGGCUAACUCCGUGCCAGCAGCCGCGGUAAUACGGAGGAUCCGAGCGUUAUCCGGAUUUAUUGGGGUUAAAGGGUGCGUAGGCGGCCUUGUAAGUCAGCGGUGAAAGUCUGUGGCUCAACCAUAGAAUUGCCGUUGAAACUGGGGGGCUAGAGUAUGUUUGGGGCAGGCGGAAUGCGUGGGGUAGCGGUGAAAUGCGUAGAUAUCAGGAAGAACCCCGAUGGCGAAGGCAGCCUGCCAAGCCAUGACUGACGCUGAUGCACGAAAGCGUGGGGAGCAAACAGGAUUAGAUACCCCUGUAGUC